UACAGAGGUCCCGAGCGUUGUUCGGAUUCAUUGGGCGUAAAGGGUGCGUAGGUGGCGCCGUAAGUGGGGUGUGAAAUCCCGGGGCUUAACCCCGGGACUGCAUUCCAUACUGCCGUGCUUGAGGACUGGAGAGGAGACUGGAAUUUACGGUGUAGCGGUGAAAUGCGUAGAUAUCGUAAGGAAGACCAGUGGCGAAGGCGGGUCUCUGGACAGUUCCUGACGCUGAGGCACGAAGGUCAGGGGAGCAAACGGG
This 253-nucleotide ribosomal RNA is filed under the name uncultured bacterium. RNAcentral describes it as "partial 16S ribosomal RNA". It matches the Rfam family "Bacterial small subunit ribosomal RNA", at positions 524 to 776 of the family's 1533-position model. The record is from RNAcentral.